GGGAUUCAUGAGGGCCAGAUCACUCAGGGCCUUGGAUCCAAGCUCGGGCGUGUAAAUGUCAUCCUGCUGGCAGCUUGGAGUCUAGGAGGGGAGUUUUUAAACAGGCCGGUGAGCUAACUCAGCCUGCACAGAGGAGGUGACAUUGAAGGAUGUGUUAGCGGCAGUGACAACAGCUGUUGUUCAGGAAUGGGAAGGUUUUAGGAGUCACAGAAAAUGCUUCCAGAGCUGUGUACUUUUCCACUGAUAAUCUGGUGAAUAUCCCAGGGAGGUGGAUUUCAAUUUAGUGUAAGAAAAUGCUUUCGUCCAAAGGGAGCUGAAGGAAGGUGAUCACAGUCCUGCAGAGCCUAAGGCAGAAGCCCAGCUCCACCCCUCACCAGUUCACUUCAGAAGCAUGGAUGGUCCAGCACUCCUGCCAGUCCCUGAGCCCCGACACUACAGGGGCUGUGCAACUCCCAUCAUGAUCUAGUUCCAGAGCAUUUCCUUCACCCCAGAGGGAGACCCUGCACCCGGGAGCAGGCAUUCCUCACCCUCGCUGCUGCCAGCCCCUGACGGCUGCUGAACCCACUUCCUGU
Non-coding RNA from Manis javanica (Malayan pangolin), 572 nucleotides. The record is from RefSeq and is a predicted model, not a curated record. NCBI's taxonomy places the organism in Eukaryota, Metazoa, Chordata, Mammalia, Pholidota, Manidae.